GUCCGUGCUGAAGGUUGAUGAACCUUUACCCAGUGGUGGGCAGCACGUAAUCAUUCAGAUCAAUAAGGAGGCCGAGGAUCUGCUAUAUAAACGCAAUGGGAAGAUGGCGUGGGGCUUAGGGAGCGUGUACCUUCGCCUCAAGAAACGUCAUCCGAACGACAAGGACACACACACGCUGAGGUCAAGGGAGGUUGAGGCAGAUCUCGGUCUUGAGAGCGUGACCGACGCCACCCAGCACCUCAGCUUGACUGAUGAGACGGAGAAGGUGGGGGAGGAACUGUCCAUGAAGACGGGCCCCCCGCGAGUUUGCUAACCUCUAAUGAGUGUGCUGCAACUCAACCUCCAUAGCGGAGGCGGAGCUACUCCUUGCCAUGGAGGAAGUGUCCGCCUACGCGGCUUUGGUCCAAGAACCGUGGAUAGCGUCGGGCAACACGGUGGCUGGGCUGAAGUCGCUUAAUUACGAUCUGUACGUCCCGACAUUGCAAUGACGAUCUUACCGUGGUGGUGCUGGAGAGCCGUGAGGGAUGUUUGCUGCUGGCAUCCUGCUACAUGGCCCACGACAUGCCGGCUCCACCUGACGAGCUGCGGAGGCUGGUGGACAUGG
Long non-coding RNA from Drosophila sulfurigaster albostrigata, 604 nucleotides. RefSeq lists it as uncharacterized. The transcript is spliced from 2 exons. Lineage: Eukaryota; Metazoa; Arthropoda; Insecta; Diptera; Drosophilidae. The record is from RefSeq and is a predicted model, not a curated record.